RNAcentral lists this ribosomal RNA (425 nucleotides) under uncultured bacterium. Its description in RNAcentral is "partial 16S ribosomal RNA". It matches the Rfam family "Bacterial small subunit ribosomal RNA", at positions 354 to 796 of the family's 1533-position model. The record is from RNAcentral.
GUGAGGAAUUUUGCGCAAUGGCCGCAAGGCUGACGCAGCAACGCCGCGUGGGUGAUGAAGGCCUUAGGGUUGUAAAGCUCUUUCAGCUGGGAAGAUAAUGACGGUACCAGCAGAAGAAGCCCCGGCUAACUCCGUGCCAGCAGCCGCGGUAAUACGUAGGGUGCGAGCGUUAAUCGGAAUUACUGGGCGUAAAGCGUGCGCAGGCGGUUUUGUAAGAUCGAUGUGAAAUCCCCGGGCUCAACCUGGGAACUGCAUUGGUGACUGCAAGGCUGGAGUGCGGCAGAGGGGGAUGGAAUUCCGCGUGUAGCAGUGAAAUGCGUAGAUAUGCGGAGGAACACCGAUGGCGAAGGCAAUCCCCUGGGCCUGCACUGACGCUCAUGCACGAAAGCGUGGGGAGCAAACAGGAUUAGAAACCCCUGUAGUCC